Molecule: ribosomal RNA, 252 nt
Filed under: uncultured bacterium
Lineage: Bacteria
Description: partial 16S ribosomal RNA
Rfam family: Bacterial small subunit ribosomal RNA
Source: RNAcentral
UACGUAGGGUGCGAGCGUUGUCCGGAUUUAUUGGGCGUAAAGGGCUCGUAGGCGGCGUGUCGCGUCGGGAGUGAAAGCCCGCGGCUUAACCGCGGGUCUGCUUCCGGUACGGGCAUGCUGGAGUGUGGCAGGGGAGACUGGAAUUCCUGGUGUAGCGGUGGAAUGCGCAGAUAUCAGGAGGAACACCGGUGGCGAAGGCGGGUCUCUGGGCCGAUACUGACACUGAGAAGCGAAAGCGUGGGGAGCGAACAG